This 1140-nucleotide long non-coding RNA is filed under the name Nicotiana tabacum (common tobacco). RNAcentral describes it as "long non-coding RNA (NTAB_LNC015345)". The record is from RNAcentral. Lineage: Eukaryota; Viridiplantae; Streptophyta; Magnoliopsida; Solanales; Solanaceae.
UUGUUGAAAAGAGGUCUGAGAAAGGCUUCAAUUUAUACUUACAAGCUGUGAUAGAUAGUACAUCAAUUACGAAAUGAAGGUCAAGAAAUUUGGAUGGAAAAGCAAUUAGAUCUUGCCACGUGGCCCGAGCUUUGGUGGAAGUUGAGGCCCUUUCUUGAUUGGUAGGAUAUCCCCUGAUGCAGUUGAACUGAAGUAAGCGAGAGUUGAGCCACCUCCCAAAAUCAAGAACUUGAGCAACAGACCUCUCUUUGUGAAAGGAGCAGCAAAUGUCUCAAAGAACUUGCUCUACAAAAUACAAAAGCAAUAGGAGGGACAGUUAUAACUCAGUAUGUGAGAAGUAAAUCAAUAUGGAACAUUUUAAUAGAGAAUGUGGGAUGUUUAUACGGGAAGAAAGGCAAAUAAUACCUGAAGGGAGUUGUAGGGUGAAGGUGCAUCUGAUCCAUACAAGUCCCACUGACCAGUGGUGUUGCCCAAAUCCUCCAAGUCAAAAUAUACACUCUUGUCACCAUAUUUUGCAACCACAGCACCAGCCCUACACAAACAUAUAAUCAGUCAAAAAAGAAGCACAACAACAACAUGCUAGUCCAUCACUUUAAUCUUUAGUAUCUGUCUUAAACGCCUCAGAUGAAUAGAAUGACAUUUCUUAAGACCCUAAUUAGCUGAACUGAUUCAAUCUCUAAACUUUGCCACUUUAACCAAACUAAAUCCGGGUUGACAUACCAAAAACUACCCUUAACAAAGGCGAAUCCAUGAUUUAGAAUCAAUAGUUCAGAAUGAUUGUGAUCUAGUUAUUAUAUACAUACAUUUUAAUUUUUCUUCUUUCUUUCAUAUGUACAUAUAGUUUGAACCGGUGGUGGAAGUAGAAUUUUCAUCGAGGAGACUCAAAAAAUAAAAAAAGUAAACACCCGAAGAAACUAAGGAAAUUGAAAAAAAUUAAAUUAAAUACACACUGUAAUGUUUUGGAAAUGUGGCACUCCGUAUUCAAUGACUUAAAAAUCCGAGAUCCUUAUUUGGAGGUCGUUAAUAGCUAGUAGAUUACCUGGAUUUAGAGGGCUUCAAAUUGAGGCGAGAUGAUUUAACAUGAAGCUUUGUUCCAGCAAUGGAGCUACCAGCUAGGCCCUUGAUUGUGGUGGUGGGCUG